UUUAACGGCCGCGGUAUCCUAACCGUGCAAAGGUAGCGCAAUCAAUUGUCCCAUAAAUCGGGACUUGUAUGAAUGGCUAAACGAGGUCUUAACUGUCUCUUACAGGCAAUCGGUGAAAUUGAUCUCCCUGUGCGAAAGCAGGGAUGCACACAUAAGACGAGAAGACCCUGUGGAACUUUAAAAACAGCGACCACCCCAGCAUACAUUCACCCCCACCUCGGGCUCACUUAUACCACGGGCCACUGGUUCGCAUUUUUUCGGUUGGGGCGACCUUGGAGCAAAACAAAACCUCCAAAAAUUAGACCAAACCUCUAGACUAAGAGCAACCUCUCAACGUGCUAAAAGCACCCAGACCCAAUAUAAUUGAUCAAUGGACCAAGCUACCCCAGGGAUAACAGCGCAAUCUCCUUCAAGAGUCCAUAUCGACAAGGAGGUUUACGACCUCGAUGUUGGAUCAGGACAUCCUAGCGGUGCAGCCGCUGCUAA
RNAcentral lists this ribosomal RNA (486 nucleotides) under Phylloscopus affinis (white-spectacled warbler). Its description in RNAcentral is "partial 16S ribosomal RNA". It matches the Rfam family "Bacterial large subunit ribosomal RNA", at positions 1923 to 2568 of the family's 2925-position model. The record is from RNAcentral. Lineage: Eukaryota; Metazoa; Chordata; Aves; Passeriformes; Phylloscopidae.